This 450-nucleotide ribosomal RNA is filed under the name uncultured bacterium. RNAcentral's name for it is "partial 16S ribosomal RNA". It matches the Rfam family "Bacterial small subunit ribosomal RNA", at positions 354 to 796 of the family's 1533-position model. The record is from RNAcentral.
GUGGGGAAUAUUGGACAAUGGGCGCAAGCCUGAUCCAGCCAUACCGCGUGGGUGAAGAAGGCCUUCGGGUUGUAAAGCCCUUUUGUUGGGAAAGAAAUCCUGUCGAUUAAUACUCGGUGGGGAUGACGGUACCCAAAGAAUAAGCACCGGCUAACUUCGUGCCAGCAGCCGCGGUAAUACGAAGGGUGCAAGCGUUACUCGGAAUUACUGGGCGUAAAGCGUGCGUAGGUGGUGGUUUAAGUCUGCUGUGAAAGCCCUGGGCUCAACCUGGGAAUUGCAGUGGAUACUGGAUCACUAGAGUGUGGUAGAGGGAUGCGGAAUUUCUGGUGUAGCAGUGAAAUGCGUAGAGAUCAGAAGGAACAUCCGUGGCGAAGGCGGCAUCCUGGGCAAACACUGACACUGAGGCACGAAAGCGUGGGGAGCAAACAGGAUUAGAAACCCGUGUAGUCC